RNAcentral lists this long non-coding RNA (1119 nucleotides) under Anas platyrhynchos platyrhynchos (common mallard). RNAcentral describes it as "lncRNA (ENSAPLG00000023846.1)". The record is from RNAcentral. Lineage: Eukaryota; Metazoa; Chordata; Aves; Anseriformes; Anatidae.
AUGUAUUCACCAGGGGAGGAGCGGGAUGAAAGCGCUUUUAACCUCCCCGCCAUAAACUUUAAUCGGAUUCCGAGCUGUUGCACGGCAUGGACUCCUCGCCUCUUCUCUGCGUCUCCUUCCCCGUUGUCUCCCAUUUCUACUACGAUCUGCUUUGCGAGAGCCUUUUCCAAGCGAAUGAGUGAUUCCUUUCUCUUGCCAUGUGCAAUCUUUCCCCCCUCCCCUUUCUACCCUCUCUGGCCUCUCUUACACACACUAUGUCUUUCACAUGCGGUCUGUGCCCCCCAGCCCCCUCCCUUUCUUUCUCUUUUGCAGUGUCUUCGCAUGCAAUCUCUCCCUGAAUGUGCAAUGUCUUUCCUGCUCGGGAGUGCUGCGUCCUUCACAGUGGAUUGGUUCCUCUUUCGGAGCAGAGAUCACGGGAAAAGAGAAAAGCAGUCGAAUAUUGUGAUAAUCCUGGGAGCCUGCAGAAGCUGGUUGAUAGAUAUUUCCAAGAAUUCCCCAUGUUCACCAAGGAAUGGUGGGAUCAAUCUCCUUCUCCUGUGGACUUCAGUUCUAUCUUAAUUCAUCAACAGAUGGCAGUAGACAACUCCCUAUCUUCACACCAACGGCCUUAUGAAUGACCCUAUUAAUAACAAAGGAAGGGAAGAAAAAAAUAUAUAUAUUGCUGCUUAAGUCUUCUGUAUAUAAUGUGUUAAUCUAAACCAUGCAGUGCUAAAAUCUCAUAAAGAUUAAUUUUAUGCUGAGUUUGAAUGACUAGAAGCAGCUACUACCUUUGGAAUGGCUAUCUUCCUUGUCAUCUCCUAUGUUUAAAUGAUUCUUUUAUUGAAAUUGAUUCUUUUUAUUUUCCUUGUUGAGAAAGCAUAGUAAAAUAUAUUAUGGCAAAUCCUUUGCUUUUCCCACUGAUCAUAUGACUGUAAUGAAGAAUCAGUUCUCUGAUUGCAGUAAAUACAUUUUUUUUUUCUCCCAAAUGUCUUCAUUAAAGUGACGGAACAAGUAAUUUAAUAAGUAGUUGUACUAGUUUUUGAGACAUACCUCACUAGAUUUUGGUGUUGCAUUAAUUCCUCCUUCAAAUCAAGUAGAUGGUAUAAUAAACUCAGUGAAUUCUUUAGAUAGAUUGAAACA